Molecule: ribosomal RNA, 1449 nt
Filed under: Providencia rettgeri
Lineage: Bacteria; Pseudomonadati; Pseudomonadota; Gammaproteobacteria; Enterobacterales; Morganellaceae
Description: partial 23S ribosomal RNA
Source: RNAcentral
CAACCCAGACCGCCAGCUAAGGUCCCAAAGUCAUAGUUAAGUGGGAAACGAAGUGGGAAGGCUCAGACAGCCAGGAUGUUGGCUUAGAAGCAGCCAUCAUUUAAAGAAAGCGUAAUAGCUCACUGGUCGAGUCGGCCUGCGCGGAAGAUGUAACGGGGCUAAACUAUGCACCGAAGCUGCGGCAGCGAUAUGUAAAUAUUGUUGGGUAGGGGAGCGUUCUGUAAGCCUGUGAAGGUGUGCUGUGAGGCAUGCUGGAGGUAUCAGAAGUGCGAAUGCUGACAUAAGUAACGAUAAUGCGGGUGAAAAACCCGCACGCCGGAAGACCAAGGGUUCCUGUCCAACGUUAAUCGGGGCAGGGUGAGUCGACCCCUAAGGCGAGGCAGAAAUGCGUAGUCGAUGGGAAACGGGUUAAUAUUCCCGUACUGGUGAUAAUUGCGAUGGGGGGACGGAGAAGGCUAGGCUAUCCGGGCGACGGUUGUCCCGGUUUAAGGAUGUAGGCAGGUGAAUUAGGCAAAUCCGGUUCACUAUAUGCUGAGGUCCGAUGACGAGUCACUACGGUGAUGAAGUAGCUCAUGCCCCGCUUCCAGGAAAAGCCUCUAAGCUCUAGAUUAUCAUUAAUCGUACCCCAAACCGACACAGGUGGUCAGGUAGAGAAUACUCAGGCGCUUGAGAGAACUCGGGUGAAGGAACUAGGCAAAAUGGUGCCGUAACUUCGGGAGAAGGCACGCUGGCAUUAGGUGAAGUGAUUUACUCAUGGAGCUGAAGCCAGUCGCAGAUACCAGCUGGCUGCAACUGUUUAUUAAAAACACAGCACUGUGCAAACACGAAAGUGGACGUAUACGGUGUGACGCCUGCCCGGUGCUGGAAGGUUAAUUGAUGGGGUUAUCCGUAAGGAGAAGCUCUUGAUCGAAGCCCCAGUAAACGGCGGCCGUAACUAUAACGGUCCUAAGGUAGCGAAAUUCCUUGUCGGGUAAGUUCCGACCUGCACGAAUGGCGUAAUGAUGGCCAGGCUGUCUCCACCCGAGACUCAGUGAAAUUGAACUCGCUGUGAAGAUGCAGUGUACCCGCGGCAAGACGGAAAGACCCCGUGAACCUUUACUAUAGCUUGACACUGAACAUUGAGCCUUGAUGUGUAGGAUAGGUGGGAGGCUUYGAAGCGUGGACGCCAGUCUGCGUGGAGCCAACCUUGAAAUACCACCCUUUAAUGUUUGAUGUUCUAACGUUGCCCCAUUAUCUGGGGUGCGGACAGUGUCUGGUGGGUAGUUUGACUGGGGCGGUCUCCUCCCAAAGAGUAACGGAGGAGCACGAAGGUUGGCUAAGCAUGGUCGGACAUCAUGCGGUUAGUGCAAAGGCAUAAGCCAGCUUGACUGCGAGAGUGACGGCUCGAGCAGGUACGAAAGUAGGUCUUAGUGAUCCGGUGGUUCUGAAUGGAAGGGCCAUCGCUCAACG